AAGGAGGUUCCAAUCAAUGGGACAUUAUGGCCAGGGUGAAAUGCAGAGGUAACUUUGAUAAUUAAAAGUUGGUGCAGUGCUUUGAGAGUUGUUUUUCUGUUCCUAUAUUUAGCCAUGAUACUUUAGACAAAAGAAUGCUCUAUUUUGAACUUGAGUUGCAAUUUUGGAUCAAACAUCUCAUAGUGACAUAAGUAAUGUUUAUAGUUUCUACAACUGUUGAGCAUUCUCCUAAAUACUUUUUUUCUUUUUUAGUCAAAACUUGUAUCAGUGAGAUGUCUGUUCAAAAAGUAUUAACUUUUAACUAAAAGUUACUUUAUUGUUGCUAUGUUGCUUACUGUAAUUAUUUUUAAUGGAUUGUUUUGCUGUUGUCUCUAUUAGAUAUGCUAGUAUUUCUCUUUGCUGUGUUUUGGGUAAAUCUGUUAAAAAAUUUUCCAUGGCUCAUUAUAAAGGGUCACUUGCUCAGAUCUUCUCUCUGUUCUCUCUUUUCAACGAUGCUUUCAAUUAAAGAUUUUUAAAUAAGAAACAUUUAUGUUUAACAUUCUCUUUUACAUUGUGCAAUUCAAUCUGUUCACAAUUUCCUUUAGCUCUUGCAAGUUAAUAUUUAAUAGCUGUGAUUAAUCCCACUUGCUUCUCUUCAGCUUUUCUGCUCAAAAGCAAAAUAAUUAUCUUGCAGUUGCUGUUGGAUGCUUUGUGAGAAGAAUUAGGGAUGGAUUUGUACUUUCUGGCAUGCUAUACUCAAAUUAUAAUCCAUAGUUUAGGAUUAGGAGUUAAUAAACAAAUUAUUCACCUCUUAUAUGCAGUAAUUAAGUGUGCUCUUUACUUCUGUUGAACCUUUAUAGAAUGCGCAAGCAAUGAUAACGACUGGAAAACUUCUGUCUGCAAGU
This 884-nucleotide unclassified non-coding RNA is filed under the name Hevea brasiliensis (rubber tree). The record is from RNAcentral. Lineage: Eukaryota; Viridiplantae; Streptophyta; Magnoliopsida; Malpighiales; Euphorbiaceae.